RNAcentral lists this ribosomal RNA (500 nucleotides) under uncultured bacterium. RNAcentral's name for it is "bacterial SSU rRNA". It matches the Rfam family "Bacterial small subunit ribosomal RNA", at positions 356 to 880 of the family's 1533-position model. The record is from RNAcentral.
GGGGUAGUGUGGGCGAAGCCUGAUGGAGCACGCCGCGUGCAGGAUGAAUGUCUUCGGAUUGUAAACUGCUUUUCUUUGUGACGAUUAUGACGGUAGCAGAGGAAUAAGGGACUGCUAACUACGUGCCAGCAGCCGCGGUCAUACGUAGGUCCCAAGCGUUAUCCGGAAUUACUGGGCGUAAAGAGUUGCGUAGGUGGCAGAGUAAGUCUGUAGUGAAAGCGUGUGGCUCAACCACAUAUACAUUAUAGAAACUGCUCAGCUAGAGGAUGAGAGAGGUCACUGGAAUUCCUAGUGUAGGAGUGAAAUCCGUAGAUAUUAGGAGGAACACCGAUGGCGUAGGCAGGUGACUGGCUUAUUCCUGACACUAAGGCACGAAAGCGUGGGUAGCAAACGGGAUUAGAUACCCCGGUAGUCCACGCCGUAAACUAUGGAUGCUAGCUGUUAGAGGUAUCGACCCCUCUAGUAGCGAAGCUAACGCGUUAAGCAUCCCGCCUGUGGAG